AGUCAGUUUCCUUUGUCAUGCAAUUGAAGUACCAGAGCUUAAAAUAUAAACUUUUUUAAAAUAGCCUACAUGUUUUAUUUCUAUUUUUCAUCUUCUUUCCUUCCUUUCCUUGUUUCUUCCACCUUCUCAUCUUCUGUGUCUCUUCGGGUUUUCUCUCUUCGCUGUCUCGUUCUCUAUUUUUGAGAUCAAUAUAUAUGACCGUAAACCAUGACUGGCCGUUGUAGGCUGGCGCUGUUUUUUCUUGUUUGGAUAUGAGAUUCUGACUCGAACAGAGAGAGAAAGAGAGAGAGAGAGAGAGUUUUUGUGAGAGUUUAUUCUGUUUGAUUUUGUGUUUAUUGGAUAGUUUUUGUUUCUUUGUUCUUUAAUGGCGAUGGACGAUAACGAGAGUUGUAGUAGCAGAGCUGUGGAGUCAUCACCAACCCAUCAUCGUCAGCAGAGACAGAAGCUUGUGGUUUAUAACGAGGUGCUUCGUAGACUCAAGGAAUCUAAUCAUGAAGAGGCUAAUCUUCCUGGUUUUGAUGAUGAGCUAUGGUCUCAUUUUAAUCGACUGCCGACGAGAUACGCUCUGGAUGUGAAUGCCGAGAGAGCAGAAGAUGUCCUCACACAUAAAAGAUUACUGCAACUCGCUCAUGACCCUGAUAACAGACCAGCAUUAGAUGUGCGCCUUGUGCAGGUUAUGCGUAAUGGAAAUUCAGUUGAUUCCAUCCACUCAAACUCUCCAAGAACUGAAGAUGUGCAGGGUUCUUCCAAUCAACCCAGGAGACAUAGCAUUCAUCCUCCUCCUGCAUUUGGUUCAUCACCUAAUCUAGAAGCCCUCGCACUUGAAGCUAGCAGAUCACAUGUUGAAGAUGGAGAUAGAUCUGUACAUGACAAUCCACAGUUCUCCCAGCCCAUGCAUGAAGUCACUUUUUCAGCCGAUGAUAAGCCAAAACUUCUUAGUCAGUUGACAUCAUUACUUGCUGAGCUUGGACUGAACAUCCAAGAGGCACAUGCUUUUUCCACAGUAGAUGGCUACUCCUUAGACGUCUUUGUUGUUGAGGGCUGGCAAUACGAGGAAACUGAGCAGCUUAGAAAUGCAUUGGAAAAAGGGAUUUUAAAGAUCAAGAAGCAAUCUUGGUCGACGCCGAAUACUUUGUCUUCUAUCUGCCAGCCUGGGCAAACUGCUUCUGAUCCCAUUCCUGAUCAUGUAAAAAUACCUACUGAUGGGACUGAUGUCUGGGAAAUUGAUAUCAGGAUGUUAAAAUUCGAAAACAAAGUUGCAUCUGGGUCCUAUGGUGAUCUGUAUAAAGGUACAUACUGUAGCCAGGAGGUGGCUAUUAAAGUCCUAAAGCCUGAGCGUGUGAACGAGAAUAUGCAGAGGGAGUUUGCCCAGGAAGUAUUUAUUAUGAGGAAAGUUCGCCACAAGAAUGUGGUGCAGUUCAUUGGUGCUUGUACCCGACCUCCAACCUUGUGCAUUGUUACAGAAUUUAUGUCUGGGGGAAGUGUGUUUGAUUUUCUGCAUAAACAAAAGGGCGUAUUUAAGCUUCCAUCCUUACUCAAAGUGGCAAUUGAUGUUUCCAAGGGAAUGGACUACUUGCAUCAGAACAAUAUAAUUCACAGAGACCUGAAGGCUGCCAAUCUUCUGAUGGACGAAAAUGAAGUUGUCAAGGUUGCUGACUUUGGAGUUGCCCGGGUACAAACUCAGUCUGGAGUGAUGACAGCAGAAACUGGAACAUACCGUUGGAUGGCUCCUGAGGUCAUAGAACACAAGCCGUAUGAUCACAAGGCUGACAUUUUCAGUUUUGGAAUUGUACUAUGGGAGCUGCUAACAGGGAAGAUCCCGUACGAAUUCUUAACUCCAUUACAAGCUGCCGUUGGAGUGGUGCAAAAGGGUCUACGGCCCACAAUUCCAAAGAACACUCAUCCAAAACUUGUUGAACUGCUUGAGAAAUGCUGGCAGCAAGACCCAAGCUUAAGACCAGACUUUUUUGAAAUUAUAGAGAUGCUACAGCGAAUAGCCAAGGAGGUUGGGGAUGAGAAGAAAUCUGAGAAAUCUGGUGGAUUCUUCUCAGUACUUAUACGGGGUCACCACUGACAUAGAACAAAGAGAUGGUGGUGCUGUUUAUAGUGUCUUCGUAUGGUCAUGUUUGGCCCGGUCUAUUUGGUUCUGUCAAUUUCAUAAAAGCCUAAACAAAAUCGAAAACGAGAGGGUUUGGUUUGGUCUGAUUUUGGUUGGUUCAAGCUUUUUGGACUGAAAAUUGACACCCUAAGUUUUCCUUGAGCUCAUUGGUCAUAAGAUUUAUGAAUAUAGAAAUUAGGUGCAAUAUGGGAUGUUGGGGAAUAUCUGGCCUAUUAACGAAAAACGGGAUGGCUAUUAGAAUUACUUCCCCAUUCAGACUAUGCGGUCAUGUCAAAUUAAUUUGAUGAUGAGUCCAAACAUUUUAUCUACCACAUAUGGGUCCUUUUUCAUAGAGAUGUAAAUGGAUAGUAUAUGCAUCCGAUUAAUUUUCAAACGAAUUUGGAAAGUUUUUGGAAGCUGAAUUUUUGAAUAUGGAUUUUCAUAUAAUAAAAAAUAUAGAUUUUUGACUA
RNA transcript from Macadamia integrifolia, 2568 nucleotides. It is a transcript of the gene named serine/threonine-protein kinase STY46-like, with no coding region annotated. The record is from RefSeq and is a predicted model, not a curated record. The transcript has 17 exons. Lineage: Eukaryota; Viridiplantae; Streptophyta; Magnoliopsida; Proteales; Proteaceae.